Molecule: ribosomal RNA, 493 nt
Filed under: uncultured bacterium
Lineage: Bacteria
Description: partial 16S ribosomal RNA
Rfam family: Bacterial small subunit ribosomal RNA
Source: RNAcentral
AUUGAACGCUGGCGGCAUGCUUUACACAUGCAAGUCGAACGGUAACAGGUUAAGCUGACGAGUGGCGAACGGGUGAGUAAUGCAUCGGAACGUGCCCGAUCGUGGGGGAUAACGCAGCGAAAGCUGCGCUAAUACCGCAUACGAUCUGAGGAUGAAAGCGGGGGACCGGAAGGCCUCGCGCGAUCGGAGCGGCCGAUGUCAGAUUAGGUGGAUGGUGGGGUAAAGGCUCACCAAGCCAACGAUCUGUAGCUGGUCUGAGAGGACGACCAGCCACACUGGGACUGAGACACGGCCCAGACUCCUACGGGAGGCAGCAGUGGGGAAUUUUGGACAAUGGGCGAAAGCCUGAUCCAGCAAUGCCGCGUGCAGGAAGAAGGCCUUCGGGUUGUAAGCUGCUUUUGUACGGAGCGAAAAGGCUCUCUCUAAUACAGGGGGCUCAUGACGGUACCGUAAGAAUAAGCACCGGCUAACUACGUGCCAGCCGCCGCAGUAA